CAACCUGCCGACAACACUGGGAUAGCCUUUCGAAAGAAAGAUUAAUACCGGAUGGCAUAGUUUUCCCGCAUGGGAUAAUUAUUAAAGAAUUUCGGUUGUCGAUGGGGAUGCGUUCCAUUAGGCAGUUGGCGGGGUAACGGCCCACCAAACCAACGAUGGAUAGGGGUUCUGAGAGGAAGGUCCCCCACAUUGGAACUGAGACACGGUCCAAACUCCUACGGGAGGCAGCAGUGAGGAAUAUUGGUCAAUGGUCGAGAGUCUGAACCAGCCAAGUAGCGUGAAGGAUGACUGCCCUAUGGGUUGUAAACUUCUUUUAUACGGGAAUAAAGUUAGCCACGUGUGGCUUUUUGUAUGUACCGUAUGAAUAAGGAUCGGCUAACUCCGUGCCAGCAGCCGCGGUAAUACGGAGGAUCCGAGCGUUAUCCGGAUUUAUUGGGUUUAAAGGGAGCGUAGGCGGGUUGUUAAGUCAGUUGUGAAAGUUUGCGGCUCAACCGUAAAAUUGCAGUUGAUACUGGCGACCUUGAGUGCAACAGAGGUAGGCGGAAUUCGUGGUGUAGCGGUGAAAUGCUUAGAUAUCACGAAGAACUCCGAUUG
Molecule: ribosomal RNA, 594 nt
Filed under: uncultured Bacteroidota bacterium
Lineage: Bacteria; Pseudomonadati; Bacteroidota
Description: bacterial SSU rRNA
Rfam family: Bacterial small subunit ribosomal RNA
Source: RNAcentral